GACUACAUAUUGAGCCUUUAAGGGGAGCUUGAUCUGUAGCUAUAGCAGUCAACUUGAUAAUGCUUAUCUGCAGUAACCAUGAAAAGCCUUUUCUGUUGAUUUCUACAGAUCAAGCUGCUUUUAAAGAAACCAGAGCAGACUAGGCUGCUGUUGUAUGUUUUUAUGGUCAAUGUACUUUUUUUUUAUGCUCAUGUACUUUGUACAAAAGAAGCACACACAUUUGGAAAUCAAAGCUCUGUGUAUUACAGGACAAACCAUAUGGAGCACACUGGAGACCUCAAAAUUACUGCUUGGUCUUCAUGUUAGCUAAAGCAUUUGCCAAUAUCUCCAUGGGACCUUUAUAAAUGAAAUUGUUUAACCAGACUGGAAUGAGUUUCAAACCAUGUAAAUUUACUUCUGUAAAAAUUGCUGUUACAUUGAUGAUUUAUCUUAAGGAAGUACAUCAUCCCACCAAAGAUUUCGGACACUUCCAAAGAAUAAGAUAAGCAAAAAGUCUGCAUCUCUUCCAACCCUGAAGCAGAAAACAUCAUGGGGGAUCGAAAGAAGCAACAAAUAAAAGGAAUGGAAACUGCUGAUGAAAAAGCAACUGAAGAUUUGACAGCUCCCUUUCCCUUCAGAAGAACUCUACCUGGAACUGAGUAAAUGACAGACGGAGAAGGAGGGUGUUCACUUUCUGCUCAGUUCUGGUCAGUACUUGUAGGAACUGGGCAGGCCCCAGGCCCCUGUCUUUUCAAGAGGACCUCAAGCUGGCCUAUUAUUAAAUUUUAAAAAAUAAAUAAAUGAGAAAGGGAUCCCAACUUUACCGAAGACCCAAUCCAUGAAUAUUAUAGAAUGGUUGAAGAACUAGAAGCUUUUUGUCCACGACUCAGCCUCUUCACUUCCAGCCUCAACUCUGUUCUCUCCUCUCUCUCCGCAUUACCUCACAGUUCAAGUCUUCUUUCACAGCAAGGCUCUGUUCCCAAGGCAUAGCAACCAGUAUGGGGCACUCUCUUGCUGGGACCUGAGGCUGUACCUCUCCAUCUUCUUUAUCAUAACAACUAAGAAGAGCCCUGCUGGAUCAGGUCAAUGGCCCAUCUAGU
Rhineura floridana is the source of this 1079-nucleotide long non-coding RNA. RefSeq lists it as uncharacterized. The record is from RefSeq and is a predicted model, not a curated record. The transcript has 3 exons. NCBI's taxonomy places the organism in Eukaryota, Metazoa, Chordata, Lepidosauria, Squamata, Rhineuridae.